This 253-nucleotide ribosomal RNA is filed under the name uncultured bacterium. RNAcentral's name for it is "partial 16S ribosomal RNA". It matches the Rfam family "Bacterial small subunit ribosomal RNA", at positions 524 to 776 of the family's 1533-position model. The record is from RNAcentral.
UACGAAGGGGGCUAGCGUUGUUCGGAAUUACUGGGCGUAAAGGGCGCGUAGGCGGUACUUCAAGUCAGGCGUGAAAUCCCCGGGCUCAACCUGGGAACUGCAUUUGUGACUGCAUCGCUGGAGUGCGGCAGAGGGGGAUGGAAUUCCGCGUGUAGCAGUGAAAUGCGUAGAUAUGCGGAGGAACACCGAUGGCGAAGGCAAUCCCCUGGGCCUGCACUGACGCUCAUGCACGAAAGCGUGGGGAGCAAACAGG